UUAUUGAUUUGCAUUAUGUUUGUAAUGUGUUAAAAGGCCAAUUUUAGUGUUGUAAAUGCGCAAGGAGAAAGAACUACAACAAUUGGGCAAGUUGGGGUGAAUAUUAGGAAGAUGGUGCUCAAGAAAGUCUGUCAUCUAGGAUUGAUGUUUCCCAAUCAACACUACCUACAUCUAUUAUCCAAGGUGGGAGAGGUGCUGACAGGAA
This 205-nucleotide unclassified non-coding RNA is filed under the name Hevea brasiliensis (rubber tree). The record is from RNAcentral. Lineage: Eukaryota; Viridiplantae; Streptophyta; Magnoliopsida; Malpighiales; Euphorbiaceae.